UACGAGGGGGGCGAGCGUUGUUCGGAAUUAUUGGGCGUAAAGGGUGUGUAGGCGGUUGUUUAAGUUUGGUGUGAAAUCUCCCGGCUCAACUGGGAGGGUGCGCCGAAUACUGAAUGACUUCGAGUGCGGGAGAGGAGAGUGGAAUUCCUGGUGUAGCGGUGAAAUGCGUAGAUAUCAGGAGGAACACCGGUGGUGUAGACGGCUCUCUGGACCGUAACUGACGCUGAGACACGAAAGCGUGGGUAGCAAACAGG
Molecule: ribosomal RNA, 254 nt
Filed under: uncultured bacterium
Lineage: Bacteria
Description: partial 16S ribosomal RNA
Rfam family: Bacterial small subunit ribosomal RNA
Source: RNAcentral